RNAcentral lists this ribosomal RNA (497 nucleotides) under uncultured bacterium. RNAcentral describes it as "partial 16S ribosomal RNA". It matches the Rfam family "Bacterial small subunit ribosomal RNA", at positions 28 to 507 of the family's 1533-position model. The record is from RNAcentral.
GAUGAACGCUGGCGGCGUGCCUAAUACAUGCAAGUCGAGCGAACAGACGAGGAGCUUGCUCCUCUGACGUUAGCGGCGGACGGGUGAGUAACACGUGGAUAACCUACCUAUAAGACUGGGACAACUUCGGGAAACCGGAGCUAAUACCGUAUAAUAUAUUGAACCGCAUGGUUCAAUAGUGAAAGACGGUUUUGCUGUCACUUAUAGAUGGAUCCGCGCCGCAUUAGCUAGUUGGUAAGGUAACGGCUUACCAAGGCAACGAUGCGUAGCCGACCUGAGAGGGUGAUCGGCCACACUGGAACUGAGACACGGUCCAGACUCCUACGGGAGGCAGCAGUAGGGAAUCUUCCGCAAUGGGCGAAAGCCUGACGGAGCAACGCCGCGUGAGUGAUGAAGGUCUUCGGAUCGUAAAACUCUGUUAUUAGGGAAGAACAAAUGUGUAAGUAACUAUGCACGUCUUGACGGUACCUAAUCAGAAAGCCACGGCUAACUACGUG